This 272-nucleotide ribosomal RNA is filed under the name uncultured bacterium. Its description in RNAcentral is "partial 16S ribosomal RNA". It matches the Rfam family "Bacterial small subunit ribosomal RNA", at positions 85 to 354 of the family's 1533-position model. The record is from RNAcentral.
CCGCCGGCGACCGGCGCACGGGUGAGUAACACGUAUGCAACCUGGCCGUGACAGAUGGAUAACCGGGAGAAAUCCCGCCUAAUACAACAUAAUGCCGGGAGGGGACAUCCCCUGCCGGCCAAAGGGGCGACCCCGGUCACGGAUGGGCAUGCGGCGCAUUAGGUAGUUGGUGGGGCAACGGCCCACCAAGCCGACGAUGCGUAGGGGUUCUGAGAGGAAGGUCCCCCACACUGGAACUGAGACACGGUCCAAACUCCUACGGGAGGCAGCAG